UUGCUUUGGUAGCACAUAUACUAAAAUCGGAAUUAUACAGAGAAGAUUAGCAUGACCUUUGCGGAAACAUGACAGGCAAAAUCAUGAAGCGUUACAUAUUUGU
Molecule: small nuclear RNA, 103 nt
Organism: Stegodyphus dumicola
Lineage: Eukaryota; Metazoa; Arthropoda; Arachnida; Araneae; Eresidae
Source: RefSeq, a predicted model, not a curated record